UACGGGGGGAGCAAGCGUUGUUCGGAUUUACUGGGCGUAAAGGGCGCGUAGGCGGCCACCGCAAGUCGGUUGUGAAAUCUCCGGGCUUAACCCGGAAAGGUCAAUCGAUACUGCGGGGCUAGAGUGCAGAAGGGGCAACUGGAAUUCUCGGUGUAGCGGUGAAAUGCGUAGAUAUCGAGAGGAACACCUGCGGCGAAGGCGGGUAGCUGGGCCGACACUGACGCUGAGGCGCGAAAGCCAGGGGAGCGAACGGG
RNAcentral lists this ribosomal RNA (254 nucleotides) under uncultured bacterium. RNAcentral describes it as "partial 16S ribosomal RNA". It matches the Rfam family "Bacterial small subunit ribosomal RNA", at positions 524 to 776 of the family's 1533-position model. The record is from RNAcentral.